UUGUGAGAGGAAGUCACAAUUUAAACUCAACAGGCACUCUUAAGAUGAAAAGAGUUUCAGAGAAGGAAAAAGAAUGUAGGUUACGGAACCUUUAACUACACAGGUUCAUGCAAGCAAAAUCACAACCCUAAAGAGAGUAGAAUUGUCGAGAAUAACACUACACCAAAUUCCCGGAUUCGUAACAGGAAUUCGUAACGGCCUGUUUUAACCACAAGUAUCAUUUUCUUUUUCCUUACCCAUCUACUCGAAAAAGUCUUCUUCUCUUCCCUCUUUUCUCUUCCUUAUCCUUUUAGGGUUUUCGAUUUCACAGAUCAUCUAUUAAUCGAGUUCAGGUUUCUAACUUCACAGAUCUAUGUUAGAAGAUCUAUUAAUCAGCAGUUUCCAAACUCUUUUCUUCCCUUCCGGUUCCUGCGACUGCUGUAAGAAGAAAUCGAUGGUGAUAUUCUCAGCUGAUAGAAGAUGAAUCUGCUGUUGCCAUUUGAUUCAAGUCAAGAAUGGGUAUGAACAAGUGUUAGCCUUGGUGGCGAGAAAGAUGCAAAGAAAGAGAUGGAUCUGUGGUAUUGGUUCGAUUUGGUAAGGGUUUCAAAGAAUCAUAGCAUGGGUUGUUAGAAUGCCAGAGAAGAUGGCAGGAAUUCAAAUGACUUCGGUGUUGUUGUAUCUGAGAUUGGCAUUCGGAAUCGAAUAAAUUGCAGAAUCAAUUAAUCCGGUGAUGAAUAAUGAAGAACAAAAAGGGGAUCUGAGAUGGAGAAGAUGAUUCUGGUGUUGUUUAUGCUACCAGCGAGAUUUGUGGCAAUCUGGGUUUGUGGUGGUUGUUGUCAUGGAGGCAGUGGUGAUGUAGAGUGGUGAUGUUGUUGGUGUUCGCCGAGAAGAUUAUGUUGUUAAUGUUGAACUCGUGAUAUGCUUAAAGGGUUUUGACAGGAUUAUUUAGCUGUGAGAUAAAGAGAAGACUCAUGGAGAAUGAGUCUGAUGGUGGUAUUUAUAUGAUGUUGAAGGUGCAGCUGUUAUAGUUAGAAGUGAAGGAGAGUAAAUGUUGGUUUAAUUAUAUGUAUGCUUAAGAUUGAUUGAAUUUGAUUGCACAUUAUAACCAGGGAAGAGCUACAGAAUGGAAGUCAGACUGGUGCAGCUGAACUGAAUGGCUUGAGUCAGUGUGCAGGUUAACUGAAGAUGCCAAUGAGCUAUUACUGGUUUGCUUUGGUGGUAUGAAUUGCAGGCAUAAAUGCAGAUGGAAACGAGUGUUGCAACUAUAAAUGGGUGCAAAUGAACUGAAGUUGGUGGUUCUUAUGGUGAAGUUGUUGUUGCAGUUGCAAGUGGUGGCCGAGUCAGGUGGUGUUGAGUUUGGUUGUGAGCUGUGGGUGUUAGCCAUGGUCACACUGGCUGUACGAAAGCUGCUCAAACAUGCCGAGCACCACAUGCUGAUCACCGUAGGCGGAGAUCUGUAAAGCUACCCUAUCCAGUUUGGCCAAAUCAAAAAUUUUGAAAUCUGAAGCUGCUGAUUCUCAGAAGCUCGCUUCUAUCCAACAAGCAAUAUUGAGGCGGCUUCAAGAUGACGAUCUUAGUGUUGUUCAAGCAGCUUUAUCUCUGGAUGGGUUGACAAGGGUCAUUAGCAUGCCUGAUCUUCUUGAGGCAUUACGUGAUAUUCUUCGUAGAUGUGCUGAAAUCACAAGUGUGACACUUGUCCCAUCCGAAGCUUCUCUCGUCGCUCGUUCAUGCCUUGAGUGUGCAGUUUUGAACUUCAAAGAUAUAUCUCUUUCAUGUGAUCUAAUAUCCUCAGCCCAAGAAAAGAAACCGGAACCUAGCUCAACUGAAAUUAAUAUGAAGACUAUUGGUGCUUUUGGUGAAACAUUUGCUGCACAACCUAUAGAAUACUUAGCUUGGUUGCGGUACAUUUCAAUAUGUUUCUCUUGAGAUUUGUGUUGAGCACUGGAACUCUGGUGUCAAUGAUUUCACACUUUCACUCUUGGUCCAUCGCUUGGGGAGUUCAUUAUGACUCAUCCUGACAUUAAGGAUUGCCUACAUCGAGUUUUCUGAUGCCCAAGCUUUCAACAAAGCAAGCCUGCAAAGGAUAUAAAGCUUAGAGCAACUGCAAUGGGAGACUAAACCCAAAUAUAUGGUCCAGAUACGUGACACAGUCGAACAGACUAAAGAUCAUAUACCAGACUAAACCCAAAUUUGAGACUAUAUUUGGUCUGGAGCAACGACCAAAACCAAAUUUGGUCGAGCGAAGUUAUAAUCUUCGUCAGUUAACAGGCGUUUAUAUAAUACACGCUUCAUCUGAAGCGGUGGUAUAAUUCUCGUCCCAAGAUCAGGCGGUUGUAUAAUAUAUGCCGUAGCUAGACGAACCUAUAAUGUACGCCCGAUCGGGCGUUAGUAUAAUGUCCGCCUGAUAACAGGCGUGAGUAUAAUGUUCGUCCCAUUAAGGCAUGCAUUAUACCUUAAGUACAUUUUUGUUAAUGCUUUAUACAUGUGCUCAAGCUAAAGAAUAUAGCUAGUUAGUAGUUAA
Molecule: long non-coding RNA, 2500 nt
Organism: Papaver somniferum (opium poppy)
Lineage: Eukaryota; Viridiplantae; Streptophyta; Magnoliopsida; Ranunculales; Papaveraceae
Exons: 7
Source: RefSeq, a predicted model, not a curated record